This is a long non-coding RNA of Quercus lobata, 797 nucleotides long. RefSeq lists it as uncharacterized. NCBI's taxonomy places the organism in Eukaryota, Viridiplantae, Streptophyta, Magnoliopsida, Fagales, Fagaceae. The transcript is spliced from 2 exons. The record is from RefSeq and is a predicted model, not a curated record.
AGUUGCUAUAUUGACCUCAGGCUGUAGAUGAGUAUAUUUAAAAUUAAUAAUGCAUCUCAAGUUUACUUACCAAUGGUUGGCUUGAGCUCAAACGCAACAAGCAAAGAAAUAACUUGCACAAAGCUUUUGCGGUCCAUUGGCUUGACAUUCUUGAAACAUUGAUGCCAUUGUAAUUGCUAAAUCAAGUUGAUACUUUAACAUGAGUUACAUGGAUCUGAUGUUUUACAUUACUUGUGGGGUGCAAUUGCAGGUUGAAAAUUUGCAACCUUCAUUCCAAGGAAGUGCCAGAUAUAGAAACACAUGGGAAGGUCUUACUACUAUUGUUCAUAAUCAAGGAUGGAGACAAUUGUUUGCAGGUCUAAGCAUUAACUAUAUAAAGAUUGUUCCUUCUGUGGCCAUUGGUUUCACUGCGUACGACAUGAUGAAGUUUUGGCUCCGCAUCCCACCUCGACAGAAGACUCAAUCAAUAUCUGCUGCCUAAUUCCUUUGGAAUAAGACCAUAAAUGCAACUUGGUUACAUGGGCUGUGCAAUCCAGAAUGACGCACGAUCUAUAGAUGCAAGUAAUCAACAAAGGUGUCCUCAAAAUAAUACUCUGAUUGUCUUAGUUAAUGAUUAGUAAGAUAUGGUGAACUAAGUGGGUCCAAGCUGUAAACUUGGAGUCUUGAGUCUGUUGAGAUUCUAUUUAUAUUCAAAGCAGUGUGCUUGUUUUAUUGGGGAGAAAAAUAAUUUUAUAUGUAAAAAUUUGUCCUUUUUAAAGUUGUUUAAUCAUAUGGCAGGAAAAAGUUAUUUGAUUUUU